AUAGAUGACGAUCAGAUACCGUCCUAGUCCUAACCAUAAAGUAUGCCAACUAGGAGUUGCAUGUUGUUACAUUGCUGAUAUGUCCAGCACCUGUGAGAAAUCAAAGUUUUUGGGUUCUGGGGGGAGUAUGGUCGCAAGGCUGAAACUUAAAGGAAUUGACGGAAGGGCACCACCAGGAGUGGAGCCUGCGGCUUAAUUUGAUUCACCGCGGGAAAACUUACCAGGACCAGACAUAACCAGGAUUGACAGAUUGAUAGCUCUUUCUUGAUUUUAUGGGUGGUGGUGCAUGGCCGUUCUUAGUUGGUGGAAUGAUUUGUCUGGUUAAUUCCGUUAACGAACGAGACCUUACUUUGCUAAAUAAUUACAUGUACCUGUUGUUACAUGGGCAAUUCCUUAGAAAGACUUUGUGUGUACAAUGCAAGGAAGUUUGAGGCAAUAACAGGUCUGUGAUGCCCUUAGAUGCCCUGGGCUGCACGCGCGCUACACUGAAGAGAGCAACAAGUAUAUUUUCUUGCCUGAAAUGGUGUGGCAAUCUAGAAACUGCAUCGUGAUGGGGCCUGUUCAUUGUCAUUAUUGAUCUUAAACGAGGAAUUCCUAGUAAGUACA
Molecule: ribosomal RNA, 606 nt
Filed under: Ostreopsis rhodesiae
Lineage: Eukaryota; Dinophyceae; Peridiniales; Ostreopsidaceae
Description: SSU rRNA
Rfam family: Eukaryotic small subunit ribosomal RNA
Source: RNAcentral